Molecule: small RNA, 198 nt
Filed under: Marmota monax (woodchuck)
Lineage: Eukaryota; Metazoa; Chordata; Mammalia; Rodentia; Sciuridae
Source: RNAcentral
UGAAAUUUUUAAAACUGUUUUAAACAUAAAUGUCCUUUGUGUUUAAAAGUUUUUAAAAAUAAUUUUUAAAAAUUACUUGUAGGAUAUUACUUAUAAGUCACUUUGUGUGUGUGUGUGUGUGUGUGUGUCUGGGUGUGUGUGUAUAUUGAACUCAGAGCCUUAUGCAUGCAAGGCAAGUGUUCUACCACUGCACUCCAC